CAAGAGAGAGAGAGAGACAAACAGAAGUUUAUAUACAUCAAGAUACCCAAGGAAAUAGUUGUCUCAAGGAGGCGGCUUAGCAUCAGGGCCAAGAUACCUUCUACCGUUUCCAGAGCUUCUCCAGUGUCUGCUGUUUCUAAAAAAAAAAUCAGCUCACAAUGCCAAAGAGGCCUAUUUGGGAGCAGUGUAUUCUGGUCUCCAACACUCACACAAGCACCCACAGGUACAGCCCUCCACCUGUGCCCCUGGGGUGGAAUCCAAGCAGGGCCUCACCCUUCCUUCUGCAGGGCACUCCUGUUCAGUCCCAGGACGCCUAGUUCGCAUCCCUGGAUUUCUCAGCCCUUGGCUCUGCCAUCCAUCAAAGCUCCAUGGUGGUCUCCUUUCCCUCUGCCUUCAAUGGAAAACCAGGUCUUCAUAGAGUGCUUUACUGAGAUAUGCUUCUGAGGUACAAGGGGACCUUCUCUAAGUUAAAGACUCUUCCCUCUGAGGGUUGCAGGGAGAGGGUGUGGAGCAAGGCAGAGGACCUGAGAAUAAUCUAUUUGAAGCCAUCUGGAAAACUUUCAGCUGCUGG
This 571-nucleotide long non-coding RNA is filed under the name Macaca mulatta (Rhesus monkey). Its description in RNAcentral is "lncRNA (ENSMMUG00000054087.1)". The record is from RNAcentral. Lineage: Eukaryota; Metazoa; Chordata; Mammalia; Primates; Cercopithecidae.